RNAcentral lists this transfer RNA (101 nucleotides) under Actinoplanes xinjiangensis. Its description in RNAcentral is "tRNA-Gly". The record is from RNAcentral. Lineage: Bacteria; Bacillati; Actinomycetota; Actinomycetes; Micromonosporales; Micromonosporaceae.
CCGCCGUGCGGGCCGACGCCGGUGUAGCCCGCGCCGCUGCCGGCGCCGACGGCAUGGAACGUCCACACGUUGGUCGGCGGUUCCAUGCCGUCCGUGGCGGU